UUUUACUCGGUGCCCGCAGCGCCGGGGCGUGGAGGCGUUAACGCGCACGCGCUUAGGGAUCCGGCCGUGGCCGAGCGCGCGGCCGUAAGACCGCGGGUGACUAGCAUGCAGAUACCCAUGCUCUGACUUUCUGCCCCUCCACUGACAUGGCCCACCGGGGUGGGGAGAGGGACUUCCAGACUUCAGCUCGACGCAUGGGCACCUCGCUGCUCUUCCAGCUUUCAGUGCAUGAACGGGAGCUGGACCUGGUUUUUCUGGAUCAUAGCUAUGCCAAGCCUUGGAGUGCCCACCCAGAUGCCAGUAGUGCCCGCCCCACCCGCAUGCUCUUUGUCACUCCCCGGCGGCAGCACGAAAGUACCAUGUGAGUUGGGGCUUCUAAGGGCUGCUGGUAACCUCACUGGGCAGUGAUCAGAUGGGAAUUUAGAGAGGAUUUUCUCAGGAUUGACUGGGGGAGAUUGUAUGAGGCAUUUGGAUGUUAAAUUCAGGCAUCUCUUAAGCAGCAUAAGGAUAGCAGGCUUGAAUGUGGCUAUCUCUGUGAGACAG
Molecule: long non-coding RNA, 543 nt
Filed under: Homo sapiens (human)
Lineage: Eukaryota; Metazoa; Chordata; Mammalia; Primates; Hominidae
Description: non-protein coding lnc-LMAN2L-4:6
Source: RNAcentral